Molecule: ribosomal RNA, 514 nt
Filed under: uncultured Candida
Lineage: Eukaryota; Fungi; Ascomycota; Saccharomycetes; Saccharomycetales
Description: eukaryotic LSU rRNA
Rfam family: Eukaryotic large subunit ribosomal RNA
Source: RNAcentral
AAACCAACAGGGAUUGCCUCAGUAACGGCGAGUGAAGCGGCAAAAAGCUCAAAUUUGAAAUCUAACACUUUCAGUGUUCGAGUUGUAAUUUGAAGAAAGUUUCUCUGAGUAGUCCUUUAUCUAUGUUCCUUGGAACAGGACGUCAUAGAGGGUGAGAAUCCCGUAUGAUUUUGGAUACUAUUCUUUGUGAGAUUCUUUCGAAGAGUCGAGUUGUUUGGGAAUGCAGCUCUAAGUGGGUGGUAAAUUCCAUCUAAAGCUAAAUAUUGGCGAGAGACCGAUAGCGAACAAGUACAGUGAUGGAAAGAUGAAAAGAACUCUGAAGAGAGAGUGAAAAAGUACGUGAAAUUGCUGAAAGGGAAGGGCUUUAGGUCAGACUUGGUGUUUAAAUGAUUAUCUUCUCUUUUUGAGUUGUGCACUCGUUUUCACUGGGCCAAUAUCAGUUUUUGUGGUAGAGCACCUACUGGAAUGUAGCUUUCUUCGGAUGAGUGUUAUAGCCUUUAGACGAUCUAUUUAC